This 417-nucleotide RNase P RNA is filed under the name Roseospirillum parvum. RNAcentral describes it as "Bacterial RNase P class A". It matches the Rfam family "Bacterial RNase P class A". Rfam says of the family: Ribonuclease P (RNase P) is a ubiquitous endoribonuclease, found in archaea, bacteria and eukarya as well as chloroplasts and mitochondria. Its best characterised activity is the generation of mature 5'-ends of tRNAs by cleaving the 5'-leader elements of precursor-tRNAs. The record is from Rfam by way of RNAcentral. Lineage: Bacteria; Pseudomonadati; Pseudomonadota; Alphaproteobacteria; Rhodospirillales; Rhodospirillaceae.
UCAGGUGGCUGGAUGGCCGCCCCGGUUCGCCCGGCGAACCGGGGAGGAAAGUCCGGGCUCCAUGGAAACACGGUGCCGGGUAACGCCCGGCGAGGGAAACCUCAGGGAAAGUGCCACAGAGAGCAGACCGCCACCGCACCGGCUCGCCGGUCCGGCGGCAAGGGUGAAAGGGUGCGGUAAAAGCGCACCGCGCCCCCGGCGACGGGGGCGGCAGGGCAAACCCCACCGGGAGCAAGACCGAAUAGGGACGGCAGGCCGGCGGGUCCUUCGGGGCCCCUGUCGGCAGGCGGGUUUUCGCGCCGCCGUCCGGGUGUGUCGCGCCAGGCGUCCGGCAACGGGCGUCGCAGACGAAUGGCCAUCCAGCGGACCCCCUCGGGGGCCCGUGGACAGAACCCGGCUUACAGGCCACCUGACGCG